AGAGUUUGAUCAUGGCUCAGGAUGAACGCUGGCGGAGUGCCUAACACAUGCAAGUCGAGCGGCAGCGCGAGUAGUUUACUACUUGGCGGCGAGCGGCGGACGGCUGAGUAACGCGUGGGAACAUGCCCCAAAGUGAGGAAUAACUGCCCGAAAGGGUAGCUGAUGCCGCAUACGAUCUUCGGAUUAAAGGAUUUAUCCGCUUUGGGAGUGGCCUGCGUACGAUUAGAUAGUUGGUGAGGUAAUGGCUCACCAAGUCUACGAUCGUUAACUGGUUUGAGAGGAUGAUCAGUCAGACUGGAACUGAGACACGGUCCAGACUCCUACGGGAGGCAGCAGUGAGGAAUCUUCCACAAUGGACGAAAGUCUGAUGGAGCAACUCCGCGUGCAGGAUGAAGGCCUUCGGGUCGUAAACUGCUUUUAUGAGUGAAGAAUAUGACGGUAACUCAUGAAUAAGGGUCGGCUAACUACGUG
Molecule: ribosomal RNA, 471 nt
Filed under: uncultured bacterium
Lineage: Bacteria
Description: bacterial SSU rRNA
Rfam family: Bacterial small subunit ribosomal RNA
Source: RNAcentral